RNAcentral lists this long non-coding RNA (1859 nucleotides) under Pongo abelii (Sumatran orangutan). RNAcentral describes it as "lincRNA". Lineage: Eukaryota; Metazoa; Chordata; Mammalia; Primates; Hominidae. The record is from RNAcentral.
AAACAGUUGAGAACAGACUCCACCUCGUGGGACUGUGGCAUAUCUGAAAGUUCAAGACAAUUCCCCAAGCAACUUUACCUUACAAUCUCAUUGAAAAGGCUGCAUCUGUGGGGGCCCUGGGACAGACUCAGCAGCAGACAGGGUCUCCAGAGCACAUGACACCAGGAAGAAUGCAUGGAGGUCCACCGGCAGUCGAAUCAGCCGAAGCACAAGACAAACACAAUGUCUCGCUCUGUUGCCCAGGCUGGGGUGCAGUGGUGCGACCUCGGCUCACUGCAAUCUUGGCCCAUCCUUGAAGAAUCUGGGGGUAAUAAAUACCCUGAACAUCGAUGAACCCAAAGGGAAGCCAGAAGGUCAGAUGUCGGUAGUCGGGAAGAAAGGCUGGAUAGGAAAUAGGAAAAGGCAGGGCAAACACGGAGCUUCAAGGACUGAAACCCUUAAGAACAACUUGACUCUGUCUCUCACCACCUCCAGCCUCGAUGACACAGUGACAUAUAGAAGAACUGAUGCCCUUUGCUUUGAGCUGCACAAAAACCUGGCCCUGGACUUAGAGAAGCUGAAAGACAGGACCUGGCAGGAGCCUGAGGAGCUGCAGGCUGCUAACCUGUAGACCACCGUGCUGUGUUAGCCGCUGCAGCUGGGACCAUUCUGACACUCAGAGCCUGGAAAUGGCUGCUCCCUCCUGCCUGCUAUCCAAGUAUCCUGUGGAUACUUGGCUUUUCUCUUGUGGGCAACACUAACCUGAAACUCUUUGGGGAAGGGAAUUGAGGAAAUGUAGUUCUAAGAUUAGCCAAUUUAACUCAGCAUAAACCCAUCACAGGGUUUGACUACAGAGUUAUAACUUUAUUCUGUAGGCAAUGAAAACAGAAGUUUUUGAAAAAGGCAUCAAUUUGAUGAAAUUGAUAUUUUGGGGAAGAUUAAUCUUCUGCUGAGUAAAAUAUAACAGGUUGGAGGAAGAUGAAAAUGGAGAGAGUAGAGUGUAAUUAAAAGUUUGUUGGAGGCCGGGCGCGGUGGCUCACGCCUGUAAUCCCAGCACUUUGGGAGGCCGAGGUGGGCGGAUCACCUGAGGUCAGGAGCUUGAGAUCAUCCCGGCCAACAUAGUGAAACCCUGUCUCUAAUAAAAAUACGAAAAAUUAGCUGGGCAUGGUGGUGCACGCCUGUAAUCUCAGCUACUCAGGAGGCUGAGGCAGGAGAAUCCCUUGAACCCAGGAGGCAGAGGUUGCAGUGAGCCAAGAUGGCAUGAUUGCACUCCAGCCCAGGGGACAAUGUGAGACUCCGUCGCAAAAAAAAAAAAAAAAAAAAAAGUUUGUUGUAGUAGUCCAGGUGUCCGGGUGUUGUUACCAGGGCACCCAUGAUGAAAUAACUGGGAGAGUCCUUUUUUCUGACAGGUUUUCUUCAGUCCCUUUAUCUACGGGCACAACUGCUGAAGAAACCAGAUGGCCUGGGAUGGCACCAGAGCUUUUUUACCCUUGACCAGAUACUAGAGGGAAGUAAGACCCCACAAGUGGUCACGAACUGGAACUGGCGACCCCUAGUUGCCUUCAGAUCAUUAACACGUCAUUAUAAUGCUAAAAUUCCCUGCCAUUUUGUGAACAUGGGUUGCAUGAAGACGUAAGUUUAUGAAUUGCCUCUGUACACCUAAAGUCCCACCCUGUACGGGCUAACAUUCCUCCCUACAUGUACCCGCCAACACACACAUCCUGCCUCCCCCAGUCCUUAGAAACCGCAUGCCUGGCCGGGCGCCGUGGCUCACGCCUGUAAUCCCAGCACUUUGGGAGGCUGAGGCGGGCGGAUCACGAGGUCAGGAGAUCGAGACCAUCCUGGCUAACACGGUGAAACCCUGUCUUUACUAAAAAUCC